GGGGUUGUGACUCACUGGUAGAGUUAUUGCCUAGCAUGUAUGAGGCCCUGGGUUCGAUUUUCAGCACCGCA
Molecule: transfer RNA, 71 nt
Filed under: Marmota monax (woodchuck)
Lineage: Eukaryota; Metazoa; Chordata; Mammalia; Rodentia; Sciuridae
Description: tRNA.Ala
Source: RNAcentral